This 513-nucleotide long non-coding RNA is filed under the name Cricetulus griseus (Chinese hamster). RNAcentral describes it as "lncRNA (ENSCGRG00015029849.1)". Lineage: Eukaryota; Metazoa; Chordata; Mammalia; Rodentia; Cricetidae. The record is from RNAcentral.
CAGUGAUGCCAGUUAAGUCCAAACUGAGGGUAGAGCUAGACUCUGGAUCCUGAACUUCGCCUUUGUCUAGAGUCUUCAUCCAAUGAUUGAUGGAAGCACAGGCAGACACCCACAGCUAAACACUGAACUGAGCUCCUGGAAACGAAUUGCAGAGAGGGAUGAGUGAUGAGCAAUGGAAUCAUGACCGAGCUGGGGAAACCCACAGAAACAGCUGACCUGAACAAGGGGGAGCUCAUGGACCCCAGACUGGUGGCUGAGAGGCUAACAUGGAACUAAUCCAGACCCCUUGAAUGUCAGUGAGGAGGCCUCAACAAUCUAUGGGGCCUCGGGUAGUAGACCAGUAUUUAUCCCUGGCACACAAAUGGACUUUGGGAGCCCAUUCCACAUGAAAAGAUGCUCUCUCAGUCUGGACACAUGGGGAGGGUCUAGGCCCUGCCUAGGAUGAUAUGAAAGACAUUGGAGAUCCUCCAUGGAGAGACUCACCCUCCCUGGGGAGCAGAGGGGGGAUGAGGG